CAGCCGCCGCGGUAAUACCGGCGGCCCGAGUGGCGGUCACUCUUAUUGGGCUUAAAGCGUCCGUAGCCGGGUUGGGAAGGCCUCCGGGAAAUCUGGCCGCUUAACGGUCAGAAUGCCGGAGGAUACUCCCAGCCUAGGGAGCGGGAGAGGCCGAGGGUAUUCCCGGGGUAGGGGUGAAAUCCUAUAAUCCCGGGAGGACCACCUGUGGCGAAGGCGCUCGGCUGGAACGCGUCCGACGGUGAGGGACGAAGGCCAGGGGAGCAAACCGGAUUAGAUACCCGGGUAGUCCUGGCUGUAAACGAUGCGGACUUUGUGUCGGACAAGCUAUGAGCUUGUCCGGUGCCGGAGGGAAACCGUUAAGUCCGCCGCCUGGGGAGUACGGCCGCAAGGCUGAAACUUAAGGAAUUGGCGGG
This 413-nucleotide ribosomal RNA is filed under the name uncultured microorganism. RNAcentral describes it as "bacterial SSU rRNA". It matches the Rfam family "Archaeal small subunit ribosomal RNA", at positions 459 to 872 of the family's 1478-position model. The record is from RNAcentral.